RNAcentral lists this ribosomal RNA (253 nucleotides) under uncultured bacterium. RNAcentral describes it as "partial 16S ribosomal RNA". It matches the Rfam family "Bacterial small subunit ribosomal RNA", at positions 524 to 776 of the family's 1533-position model. The record is from RNAcentral.
UACGUAGGGUGCAAGCGUUAUCCAGAUUUACUGGGCGUAAAGCGCACGCAGGCGGAUGAUUAAGUCAGCUGUGAAAGCUCCCGGCUCAACUGGGAAGGGUCGGCUGAAACUGGUCGUCUGGAGGGCAACAGAGGAGUGUAGAAUUGCGGGUGUAGUGGUGAAAUGCGUAGAUAUCCGCAGGAAUACCAGUGGCGAAGGCGGCACUCGGGGUUGUACCUGACGCUGAUGUGCGAAGGCUAGGGGAGCGAACAGG